This is a long non-coding RNA of Ananas comosus (pineapple), 449 nucleotides long. RefSeq lists it as uncharacterized. The record is from RefSeq and is a predicted model, not a curated record. The transcript has 3 exons. Lineage: Eukaryota; Viridiplantae; Streptophyta; Magnoliopsida; Poales; Bromeliaceae.
AGCUUGACGAAAUCAAGUUGAGGAGAAGCUUUGGAGGGUGUGGAUCUCUUUCUUAAGUAAGAAGAAGUUGGAAAGCAUGGUGGCCAAGCUCGAUGCGGAGGACAACUCCGAUUUGGAAUUUGACGAGGUUACCGCACUCAAUUGGAGGAAUUUGAGGAAUUUCGUUUGUUAGGUUUGAAGUGUGCCGAAUCAAUGUCGGAAACCCAAUUGCUUGGAAAUCCUUGCAAUUGGCAAUCAACCAAGGACAAGAAAAUCGGGACAGGGCUUCUUCGAUGCCCUAGUUCGGGAACAUCAUUUUAUAUACCUACUCUCUUCUAAAGUUGCAAGUGUCGAAAAUAAGCAACAGCUAAUACUGGUCGCAUCUAUGGUUAAUAGUGAUAUUUGGCAUAGACGGUUAGGUCAUCCUAAUUUUUCUGUUCUUUUUACAUUUCUUAAAAAUAAUAAAAUUA